This 496-nucleotide ribosomal RNA is filed under the name uncultured bacterium. Its description in RNAcentral is "partial 16S ribosomal RNA". It matches the Rfam family "Bacterial small subunit ribosomal RNA", at positions 28 to 506 of the family's 1533-position model. The record is from RNAcentral.
GAUGAACGCUGGCGGCGUGCCUAAUACAUGCAAGUCGAGCGAACAGACGAGGAGCUUGCUCCUCUGACGUUAUCGGCGGACGGGUGAGUAACACGUGGAUAACCUAACUAUAAGACUGGGAUAACUUCGGGAAAUCGGAGCUACUACCGGAUAAUAUAUUGAACCGCAUGGUUCAAUAGUGAAAGACGGUUUUGCUGUCACUUAUAGCUGGAUCCGCGCUGCAUUAGCUAGUUGGGAAGGUAACGGCUUACCAAGGCGACGAUGCAUAGCCGACCUGAGGGGGUGAUCCGCCGCAGGUGAAAUGGGACACGGGCCAAACUCCGACGGGAGGCAGCAGUAGGACAUCUUCCGGAAGGGGCGAUAGGCAGAAGGAGCAACGCCGCGAGAGUGAGAAAGGGCUACGGAGCGUAAAAGACUGAGAUUAGGGGAGAGCAAAGGUGUAAGUAACGAUGCGCGUCUGGACGGUACCGAAGCAGAAAGCCAGGGCUAACUACGU